Molecule: RNA transcript, 1514 nt
Organism: Ornithorhynchus anatinus (platypus)
Lineage: Eukaryota; Metazoa; Chordata; Mammalia; Monotremata; Ornithorhynchidae
Gene: TM2D2
Gene name: TM2 domain containing 2
Exons: 6
Source: RefSeq, a predicted model, not a curated record
CGGAGCGGCGCCGUGGGCCGCGGCCUAGGCCGGCGGUUCGGGGGUGGGCGCCGGGGGCUCGAUUUGUGGGCGCGGCCGGGUGGGGGCCCCCGUCCCCGGGGUCCCGGGAGGAUGGCCCCGGGCGGCUGGCCGGUCACCUACCUGCUGCUGUGCGGCCAGGCGGCGCUGCUGCUGGGGAACCUGCUGCUGCUGCACUGCGUGCCCCGGAGCCUUUCGCACAACGCCACGGCCCGGCCGGACCCGCCGCCCCCCGGGGACACCGCCGGGACCCUCGUCCCCCUCCACGCCCUGGACCCCGCCGACCGGGACCGGCCCCGGGACCGGCCCCAGGACCGGCCCCAGGACCGGCCCCAGGACCGGCCCCAGCCCUGGGAGUACACCGACCCGCGCUCGCCCCUCGUCCUCUGCGCCUUCCUACCUGAUGAAUUUAUAGAAUGUGAAGAUCCUGUGGAUCAUGUUGGAAAUUCAACUGCCUCCCAAGAGCUGGGUUAUGGGUGCCUCAAGUUGGGUGGCCAAGCCUACAACGAUGUGGAACAUACGUCUGUGCAGUGCAAGGCACUGGAUGGAAUCGAGUGUGCCAAUCCUAGGACCUUCCUACGAGAGAAUAAACCCUGUAUAAAGUACACGGGGCACUACUUCAUAACAACUUUACUGUACUCCUUCUUUCUGGGAUGCUUUGGAGUUGACCGCUUCUGCCUGGGACACACGGGCACAGCAGUAGGGAAACUGCUGACCCUCGGAGGACUUGGGAUCUGGUGGUUCGUUGAUCUUAUUCUGCUCAUCACAGGAGGGCUGAUGCCUAGCGACGGCAGUAAUUGGUGUACCAUUUACUAAAGAGAACAGGACCCAGGCGAGAGCUGGGAGAACGGAGAGGAGGUGAAACCAAAACAAGGACCGUAUAUUUUCCUGACUCCACAGCGAAGACAAAAUUCUACUGAGCAGCACAGUCUGCAGCUGCCUUUAAAGGGGCUGAGCACCUUUCAAGCAACAGCCCUACAACUCACUCAGAUUGGGAUGUAAAUAACCCAGAACUCUGAUUUCAGUCUGUAUGGUGCUCUUGUAUGCCUAACCUCACGUGCAGCCUCCAGGGCUGCUGGGCCACACAACAGAUCUCCGCUUCCUGGCCAGAUCUCUCCUGCUGGGUCUGAGGAAGCACCACAGUGGGGUGCCUCUUGCUGGAUCAGCUAAGAACUUCUGACUUUCUCAUUUUAGUAACCAGUCUGGCAUUUCCUCUAGAGAUCAUGGAGAAAAAAUUCAAGAGGAAUGAAUAAGACAUGGCAUUUCGGCUCUGACUGUUCUACCACCUCCCUCGCCAGUUAAGAAUGAGACCCUACCCAGAACAUAGUAACAAAACAUGAUAAACAUUUUUGGAUUAAAGCAAGGUCUUUAUAGACUUCAAGGAAAGUGUCUUGGGGUGUUUGUUACCUACCACAGAUUUUCCAUUUAGGUUAAAUGCAGACUGAAUCUAGUUAGGAGGUAAAUAAUUACCCAUUAAAAACUAAAUUGAAAGGAAA